UGCGCGCGCACGCUACCAAAUCGGCUGCUGCAAUUCCGGGAACGGAAGUCGAGGAAGAGGGGCAGCCGGCGGCGCCUCAAUCCACCUUAUGGUUUGUAAUCCGCUGGCGGCUACCGCGCGCUAUUUUUGUUUGCUAAUCGGCUAAUCGUGGAUGAAGUUGAAAUACUGGUUUAAUGGCGCUUCAUUUCGAGUAAUGCCAUUUUCCUGUCGCAAUGGGUCUGCAAAGCUAUGGAGGUUGCUGGUAUCGACAUCUCCUCCUGUUGUACUCCUCUGUCUUCAUCCGUGGAUUAAACAUCAAACCUGGUCAGGUAUGCUUUAUUAGGUUAUCACUUCAAAGAGUUAUCACUAAUAGAAUCAAGUUUUUUCGACGAGAUCACCAAAAUGCAGCAUGAUUUGUAGGCCGUCUAUGCUGCUUCAUUAGCUAUUACUGCAUAUUAAUGCCUAUGCCUUCUAUUUUUGUUUCAUACACGAACUAUUGUGAAAUUCUUCCAUACAGUAGCAACUAUAAUUAUUAAUUCACAUUUAUUUAAUUUCACUUGUCUGAUCUUUCAUAUAUUCUUAUCUAAUUCAAACAAGUAGGAGUUCCUGUAGAUCGCUUUCUAUCAGUAAUGCUUGUUCUGUAAUUUUCUUUUAUGGGGUUUGGUCGUUCACCACAGAAGACUUGAUCUCGCCUGUUAUGUCUUAGAAAUAGACGUAUAACUAAUUUUUAUCUUUUUAAUUGUUUUAGCCUAUACUAUAAUAUAGAGGUCAACUUUAUUGAGUUAUAGUGGUUAAAGAAAUAUAGAGGACCCUCGAAUCCUGAGUAGGCUGGCAUUUUCUGGUGGCUCCUUCUUGUCUUCAUGAAUGGAAGGGACAAAGUGAAGAUCGAGAGUGAAGUUUCAAAGGUUAUUCAGUAGUGCCAGACUUUUCUUUUGCAGAAAUAGGGGAGAAAGAUGAGAAGAAAGCGUAAAAGAAGACUGUGUUUGUUGAGAAAGCUCAAAGAUUGGACCCGACAAUUUUUGGUCCACAAUGUAAGAAGCUAGAAACACGCAAAGGUUCGAGAGGCGAACUGAGCAGAAACCAUUGUCGUUACUUGCAGAGAUUUUCAUGAAGAUUACAAAGACAAACCUAAAACUCUUUCUUCAUCAAUUCGUUCCAGCCAGAUAUAGCUUUUUGAGGUGUCUUUUUGCUGAUUGUGCUUGUCUCCUUGCGACCAGUAAAGGAUGGGUGACUUUUGGGCCUCUAACUUGAAAGAUGGAAGUUUGGAACUCUUAGACUCAUGGUAGAAUAAACGUUGUGCCUUCGUAUGGGGAUUGGGUGAAGAAAUCCAGUUAGUCCAUGGCAACCAUUUUUUUCAUGCUCAAUGGAAACUUGUUGAUCAAAGAAGUUAUUUUGGUGCUCACGGAGGCUUCUCGCUGGAAGCUGCUGAUUUUUUUUGUAAAUGGAAUGGUGUUCUAGCCCAAAUCCAGUGGAUCCACUUGGAGGGUUCAAGAUGGUCAAAAUUAUCCCAUGGUUAAAAUUCGGUAUCCUAACCUCUUGGGAAGUCCACGACCUGGCGCAAGAGUGAACUUUCAAACUUUUCAAGGGUCACACGUCCGCGUUGAAGUUGAAAACCUCUUUUCACUCUCAUUGUAGACUCCUUCGGCCGGUUAGUGCACCUUUGUUGUCAGAGAAAGUUCAUUAGAGGCUUCGCAGUGGACCGUAGGGAGGAGGAAAUCUUUCACUUACAAUAUGCUGAUGACACCAUCAUUUUUUGCCCUGAGGGGGGUUUUCUUGCUAAUUGGUGGUUAUUGGUAAAAAAAUUCCGUUUUGUCUUGGGUCUCUCCCUCAAUUUGACCAAAACUUCUUUAAUAGGCAUCAACAUUUAAGAGGAUAUCUUGAUGUUAAAUGCAAAUGAGCUGGGAUGAAGAGUGGAAAAGUUCCCUUUUUCCUAUUUGGGUAUACGUUUGGGAGGUAAUUUUCAGAACAAAACAUUUUGGGACCCGAUGUUCGACAAGGUCAGGAAUAAGGUUGAUAAAUGGAGAAUUGUACUCUUCCGAAGGGUGGUGGGUUGACUCUUGCAAAAUCGGUGACAAAUAGCCUUCCUCUGUACUAUUUCUCCAUCCUCAAAGCUCAAAGGAGAAUCAUAAAUGAAAUUGAGAAUAUGGCUAGGAAUUUCUUCUCAUGUGGCUUUAGCUCGACGUGUUCUUGUAGUAACUUAGUAAAUUGGGGGAAAACUUAUCUCCCUCUACAAUAUAUAGGCUUAGGGGUCGAGGCUUUUUAACAAAACAACAAUGCCCUUCUUCAAAUGGCUUUGGAGGUGUAAUCGAGAAAACUUUGCUUUAUGGAAGAGGGUUGUUUCUAGUAUCAUUGUGAAGAUCCUCACAAUUGGUCUACCCUCCCUGAAAGGAGUUGCAAAAGGAAGGCCAUGGUUUGAAAUUGCAAACAACAGUAGGUGUUUUUUUGGACGACAAGGCUCGUCAAGGGGAAAAAAUCAGGUUUUGGAAGGACAAAUGGAUUGGGGUAAACACUUUGAAGGUUGUUUUCCGGACAUUUUUUAUAAGAGGCUUCCAUUGUCGAUUGCAAGAAAGAAGAUUCAAGGGACUGAGAUUUGGUCUUGAGAAGCGGGUUUUUUGGUAGAGAACUUGAUAGUUGGUUGGGGUUAGUCCAGAAGCUUUAUGUUGUCUGCUGGGGGAUGGUGAUGACAAGGAGCCCUUUCACUCGAAAAGGAAGUCUAGAAUUCCAAAGAAAGUCAUGGUGUUCUUAUGGUCCUUAGCUCAGAGGAAUUUAAACACAGAAUCUCCUCCGAAGGACAUGUAAACAGUGAAGUGCCCAUUGACCACAUCUUUCUACAUUGUCCUUUUGCUACCAAAGCUUGGUCUUUCCUUCUUGACAUCCUUGGCCUUUCGGUUUGUAUGCCCAAGCACGUUGGCAUUUGGUCAGUAGAAGUCCUUGGGGGUUGGAGCUUAUCUAAACGGGCUGAAGUCCGUUGGAAUUGCGCAGCUAGAGUGCGCCUAACAUCUUUGGUUGGAAAUGUCUCAUCCUAUGUUCGAAGAUAAGUCUUCUUCUUUUGAGUCUUUUUGUAGAAGUGUACAGUACAACUCAAUUCGGCUUGAUGGUAUGUUUUUUCAGAAGAAAUUCAUUUUUAAUUAUAGCCUUUCCAUGAUUAUUUACCACUGGAAAUCUCCUCUUUAGUUUUCUGUGGGUAGGGAAACGCUCUUCCUCUAGCCCUCUUAGGUUGUUUGUCCCAUUUUUUGGGUUCAGAUACCCAAGUUUUCAACGGUUAUUAUCUUUUCUAAAGUUGAAUGUUCAAAUUUUCAAAAGACUCAAUAGUCAUUUGACGAUAGAUAGAUGUAAAGUAAAUUAUAUCCACGACAAAUGAUUCGAAGGUAGAUAGGUGGAAAAUAGUAUGGAAUUUACUUGUUUUGGGUUAUUUCAUCUUUUUCCUCCAUGUUUUUUCUAAAUUUCUUGUGUGUCAAUUCUUGCUUUUAAUUUUUUCUAUAUAUUAUUUGUUUUGGGGAUUAAAAUCUUUGAGCCAAAAACUUACUGAUGCCUAAUUGUUGCCAUACUCUAGAUUGGCUACUAGUAAUUGCAUAUAAUUUCAUGAAAAUUACAGGAAUUAUAUGACAAUUUAUCCUCUGCAUGUGUCUAGC
Molecule: long non-coding RNA, 3611 nt
Organism: Cucurbita maxima (winter squash)
Lineage: Eukaryota; Viridiplantae; Streptophyta; Magnoliopsida; Cucurbitales; Cucurbitaceae
Exons: 4
Source: RefSeq, a predicted model, not a curated record